UUUCUCUCCCAGGCCCUGAUUCUGGGCUGUGCAGAGGGUGGGGGUUCCCAGGAGCAGGGGGCUGGCGGCCAGAGGCACUGAGCCUGGGAGAAGGGGCUCUCACAUUGGGGCAGGAAGUGUGAGAUGCAGAGCAGCAGGGGAGCCCUGGAGGCCUGAGGUGGGUAGGGAGGGUGAGUGUGGUGAGGGGAGCGGAAGUCGGAAGCGGCAGCGGCCACGUUUGCCGUUCACAGGGCGGGUGGGCCGGGCGGCAGGAUCGCGACGGGGGAGCCAGGCCCACGCAUCCCUUCUCGGUCCUCUGGAGGGUACAUGUGGGGUCCCGGUCGCCCCUCUGGCCAUCACUCCCUCUAAUCCACACAAUGGGCUUGUGAAGGCGGAUGUUCCUGAAGGCUCUAACGCAGCUUACGCUCAUUGGAUAAUGGGCGACGACAGACUCUGUGGCCACCCCAGACCCGUGGAAACCCUCGACAUCUGUUUGGGAGACAACCUGCAACCCCACUCGGAAGCCCACCUAGGGGAGACCUGUAGCCACCCUGAGCCUCUCGAACCUCACGGGGAGCAGACGUGGGCCUCUGACCCUCCUGAUGCUGUGAGGCCUGAUGUUUGUCCCCAGGGCUCCAGCCCAGAGCCCAUGCACCUGGGGAGCGGCUCUUCCCAGGAACGGGCAGGACAGAAAACCACCUCCCCCGGGUCUCCCAGGGACAACCAGCCUCUGGGGAGCCCAGGGCAGAGCCAGAGCACGUCCACGCAGGUGGUGUUCUGGGCAGGGAUCCUGCAGGCCCAGAUGUGCGUGCUAGACCUGGAGGAGGAGCUGGAGAAGACAGAAGGGCUCAGAGCUGAGUUGAGAUGCUGCAUUCCCACGGCCCCUGCCGACCUCCCCACUUUUCCCUCCAGCCCAGUUGGCCCCCGGAACUCGGGCCUCCUCCCCAGCCCACCCCCGGAUGCAAAUGAGGCCUCGGAGGACGAUAGCAGUGGGCCAGAAGGGGAGCCCCAGAAGCCAGCAUGGCCGAGGGAGGGCACGCUGGACUUGUCUCCUGAGUGGAGUGCCGAGGAGGAAAGCAUCUUCUUUGACAACCCGCUUUUCCUGGAGAGCCCUUGCUCGGACACUAGUGCAUCUGAAACGCACUUUUCCUGGGGCUUCUCGGACUCCUAUGUAGAUGUGAGGACUGGGUCCCAGAGCCCACAGACCCUGGAGCCUCCACCCUCAGAAGGCAGAGUGCCCUGGGAGCUGGGCGGUGAGCCGGAUUUGGGGGAGAGCACAGCAGAGUCCAGCGGGCACACCACCCCUCCAUUCCCUGUGCCCACCUACAGGCCACACUCUUUCUCCUGGGUCAUGGUGGACACCCCCGAGGGGGCUCCCGCAGCACCUUCCAGCCAGGAGGAGACUGAGAGUUCUCUGAGAGACAGCCUUGACCCUGCCUUGCCCGCAGCAUCCUGUGUGGACAAAACACUGAGCUGGGAGACAGAACAUGUGGAAUAUAACGGCAGCCCCGCCACACAUCCAGUGCAACCUUGGGCAAGUCACUUCCCCUCUCUGGGCCUCACCUUUUCCAUCUGUAAAGAGGGAACGUGA
This is a long non-coding RNA of Bos indicus x Bos taurus (hybrid cattle), 1570 nucleotides long. Ensembl annotates it as pleckstrin and Sec7 domain containing 4. The record is from Ensembl. Lineage: Eukaryota; Metazoa; Chordata; Mammalia; Artiodactyla; Bovidae.